RNAcentral lists this long non-coding RNA (292 nucleotides) under Carica papaya (papaya). RNAcentral's name for it is "long non-coding RNA (CPAP_LNC015435)". The record is from RNAcentral. Lineage: Eukaryota; Viridiplantae; Streptophyta; Magnoliopsida; Brassicales; Caricaceae.
AUACAUAACCGUUCCGUGUUCGGGUGUAUAAAAAAACAGUCUAAUUUAUGUACCAUAACCAUUCCGUGUUCGAGGAGUAGUAGUAUUUCAAGAUACUCAUGUAUGUCGUUUUGUGUUUGGGUACAUGAAAAAUUAGUGAUAAAUAUGUAUAUCUACGUACAAUAUAUGAUAACUAAUUGAUCAUUCAUAAUAGUAACAAAGUAUAUAAUGAAGCAAUUGUGAAUCUAAUUUCGAAUUUUUGCAUUUGUUUUCUGAUUCGUAAAUAUAUUUUUAGAAAGAUUAUAUGAUAUAU